UUCAAAUGAUGUGAACAUUAUACUGUGUCUUCAAGGUCUUCGUGAUCGAUGUGAGCACAAAAUUAUAGACUACAACGGUAUCUGAAA
RNAcentral lists this small nucleolar RNA (87 nucleotides) under Millerozyma farinosa CBS 7064. Its description in RNAcentral is "Piso0_005706". It matches the Rfam family "Small nucleolar RNA snR79". The record is from RNAcentral. Lineage: Eukaryota; Fungi; Ascomycota; Pichiomycetes; Serinales; Debaryomycetaceae.